ACAGAUUACGAGAUAUCUGUCAUCCAAGGGUCUCCCAAUUGAAGCUCCAAGUCCAUGAAAACCAGAACUUUUAUUUAUACGACCUUCCCUAUCAUAUGUUUCCAGUGCUUUAACUCCAUCACGCGUCUUGAAAACAACUCCUAACAUGGUUUCGAGCCCAAGAUAAUCCGAGAGAGAUCUGCUGAGAUUAUCAUCAUCGACCUUCCCAAGCAAAGCAACAAUUCCUAUUAUGUCCUUCAUAAAUGGAAUCUGUGUAAUCUGAGUUCCACUACGCUUUUGCAGCUGGACACAGAUGGCAGCUGCAGAUUUAUCAAAA
This 316-nucleotide unclassified non-coding RNA is filed under the name Hevea brasiliensis (rubber tree). Lineage: Eukaryota; Viridiplantae; Streptophyta; Magnoliopsida; Malpighiales; Euphorbiaceae. The record is from RNAcentral.